GAAUCUUGCGCAAUGGGCGAAAGCCUGACGCAGCGACGCCGCGUGAGGGAUGACGGCCUUCGGGUUGUAAACCUCUGUCGGGAGGGACGAAGCCCUGACGGUACCUCCAAAGGAAGCACCGGUUAACUCUGUGCCAGCGGCCGCGGUAAUCAAGAGGGUGCGAGCGUUGUCCGGAAUCACUGGGCGUAAAGGGCGCGUAGGCGGCUGGGUAAGUCGGGGGUGAAACGCUGCGGCUCAACCGCAGCCCUGCCUCCGAGACUGUCUGGCUUGAGCACGGUAGAGGCUGGUGGAAUUCCCGGUGUAGCGGUGGAAUGCGUAGAGAUCGGGAAGAACAUCGGUGGCGAAGGCGGCCAGCUGGGCUGUUGCUGACGCUGAGGCGCGACAGCGUGGGGAGCAAACAGG
This 402-nucleotide ribosomal RNA is filed under the name uncultured bacterium. RNAcentral describes it as "bacterial SSU rRNA". It matches the Rfam family "Bacterial small subunit ribosomal RNA", at positions 359 to 776 of the family's 1533-position model. The record is from RNAcentral.